UCGCGUUUUCAUCAUCGUGCCAUCGCGUUUUCACCAUCGUACCAUCGCGCUUUCACCAUCGUACCAUCGCGUUUUCACCAUCGUACUAUCGCGUUUUCAUCAUCGUGCCAUCGCGUUUUCACCAUCGUACCAUCGCGUUUUCACCAUCGUUCCAUCGCGUUUUCACCAUCGUGCCAUCGCGUUUCCACCAUCGUACCAUCGAAUUUUCACCAUCGUGCAUCGCGGUAACAGACUGAAUUAAAAAUCACUACUGUCAAAACGGAACACCGUACAGGUCAGACUGCAUGGUGGUGCAGGCUAGCUGAGCUCUAUAUUGGAAACAACAGUUAAAAGGUAAAACUGACAACUUACCACUUGGACACAUAUAAAUGAAAAUCAAUGGCAUACUAAAUACUGUAGACAUGUCAUAAGGGGCGUAGCUUAAACUAAACCCAUAAAUAGGCUAAAUAACAGUUGUUCGGUGCGUUGAUUGGUCAAUAUCCCAAGUUCCCACUUCAAAACACAGGUGUGCGGCGGGUAACCAGGUCAGAAAUUAAGUACACCCACCCCAGACCUCUAGAUACACCGCAUUAUUUUUAUGUAAAAUGCGUUUUAUUUUAUGAUUACAUUUGGUUUAAUAUCCUUCAUUUCUAAAUUCUAAAAAUGAUACAUAUACAUGUAGUAUAAGUAAUAGAAAGAGCAUCGAAACACGAGGCUAUCUAAUUUGUACGAGGGGGCGUAGCCCCCGAGUAUUAAUCAGAUUGCCGAGUGUUUUGAUGUUCUUUCAGUCAAACAUAAAAACACGUUCCCUGUUUCCCCGAGAAAAAAGUAACCAAUGAACGUGCGUCUGAAUAUGAUAUUUAUGUCGCUUCCGUCACAAUAAGUAAACCCCAGCAAAAAUGAACCAAUCAAUGGGCGGGUAACUAAUAUUAACGCACUGUGCAUGUAUAUGUAUACGAUUUAACUCUGACACAUUUUCAACAGAAAGGUCCCCAAACUAUGAUACAAUCAUUUAUGUAUUAUCUGUUAAUUAACUGAUUUGAUAAUUAUUCAUUCAUUCAUUCAUUCAUUCAUUCAUAAAUUAUGCAUGUUGUUUUGAUUUAUGGUGCAAGAGAGGUAAUAACUUGCUAUUUUAUAUAUAACAUAUUUCAUUGAAUUGAUAUUGAAAGUAGCACAUGAGCUGGGGUGUAGAAUGUUUACACGCGUGGUCAGCUUAUGCGGUUAUAUCACCGGGCGUAAAAUCUACAAAACUUAUAUGCAUCAGCCGUACGAGAACAAAUAAAUGUAAUUAAAAUUAAAAUUGUUUUUAAAAUGGCAUACAAUUAUAUUAAGCAAACAUUCCUUUAUAGAAAGACAGCAUGUACACAUGAAGUAGAACAUAUAUAUGUAAUCAAUAAAUGCAAACAGGACUUUAAUGCGCAUGUAUGCGACACAUUUGUCUAGCUAUAACGGUCAGAAUAUCAUAAAAUAAUUUCCCUUGAUCAAUGCAAGAACAAAAUUACUUUAAUAAUAAAUUCAUGUUAUAUGUAUUAUGAAUUUAGUAAAUGGAUGCUGGAAAGUAACUUUGUUCAUGAUUAUGCAAGUGGAAAUUAUGAUGAUUUGACCAGUAUUGGCAAGACAAAUGUGCCGAACGUAUGUGUUUUAAAGUGAAUCUUCAGUCGUGUUACCUUUAUAGCUGAGUGUCCUUGUAAGAAAUUUUCUUAUGUGUUUAAUGUAAUUGUUUUCAUUUCACAGUCAUUUGUUAAUUAAUACAAUGUAACAAAAAUAUAAUGUACUAUCAUAAUAUUAAUGCUAUAAAUGUGCCGUUAUGCAAUGUCCAACAAUUCGAAAACUAUAUAUUCUAUUAAUUGAACGAGGGAGGUCUGUAAAUAGGUAUAAAUACGAAAUAAAUAUGAAUUGAAUUGUAUAAAUACGUGAGUGACUUGCUAAUAGUCCAAGCUAGGUCCGAUAAUGUACAUACGAGUUUUAGUAGGAACAAAAAUAGGCCUAUGUGACAGAUAUACCAUGCAUAGAUAAUCAUGCAAUCACAGUAAGUUAACGCAAAAUAUUCUAUUAAAAAGAGCAAAAUUUGACUAUCAAGACAGUACGACAAACUUUAUCUAUAGUCUGUUAUGUAUAGUUAAAAGUACAAAACAUGAGUUACAUCCCCUCAAAUAAAGACAUGAAAAACGUUUAGGACAUUGAAUAAAGAAACGAAAAUAUUCCUUAUUGUAGUUUUAUUUUAUUUAUUCUUAUUUUCGUUUAUAAUAGAUACGCUGUGCACACUUAAAACAGGGGAAGUCACUACCUCACAGGUGACUACCUACACACAAUACCACAAAUAUCAAGUAUUUUAACUUAAAAUAGCGUUUAAAUGCUCGGAGUUUUGUGAAAUGUUUCCUGCGUGAUUUUGGAACCUUCUUUGUUUCCCGGCAAAAUGCCAGAUUCUGGUCUUUACGUGAUCGUUGUUGGACACAACCUGGAAGCAAAAUGCGAUGUUGCCAAUGCUCUAGUAUGUCAGGAGAAAAUAUUUCAAACGUUUUCAUGUCGGAAGAAAAUUUUUGUAAGGUCUCGAAAAACCGUCAAAGGAAAGAAUCUUUAUAUAAUGACAACGCCAGAUAUUGAAACACCAGCGUUGGAACAUUUUGAGAAAGAGCUGAAAUCCCCGUUCAAGUUUAAAACGAGGGUCUUUUUAUAUGUACAAGAUAAUUGAUUGUAUAGACAGUGAUGAUGCUGGGUUUGAUUGAAACUUUGCAAACUCUGUUUACAGAGAAAGUUGUGUGUGUUAAGUAUAACACGAAACUUCC
RNA transcript from Ruditapes philippinarum (Manila clam), 2765 nucleotides. RefSeq lists it as uncharacterized. The record is from RefSeq and is a predicted model, not a curated record. The transcript has 2 exons. Lineage: Eukaryota; Metazoa; Mollusca; Bivalvia; Venerida; Veneridae.